ACUAUAGCGCCUACAUUACAACUAUCCAGGACCUGCGAGAUAAGAUUCUUGGUGCCACCAUUGAGAACUCAAAGAUUGUUCUGCAAAUUGACAAUGUCCAGCUGGCUGUGGAUG
Molecule: microRNA precursor, 114 nt
Filed under: Notamacropus eugenii (tammar wallaby)
Lineage: Eukaryota; Metazoa; Chordata; Mammalia; Diprotodontia; Macropodidae
Description: miRNA (ENSMEUG00000017754.1)
Rfam family: mir-492 microRNA precursor family
Source: RNAcentral